Molecule: long non-coding RNA, 496 nt
Filed under: Phoenix dactylifera (date palm)
Lineage: Eukaryota; Viridiplantae; Streptophyta; Magnoliopsida; Arecales; Arecaceae
Description: long non-coding RNA (PDAC_LNC002882)
Source: RNAcentral
CGAAUUAAUGGGUUACCGUCACUGUCAGGGAGCUGUCACGAUUGAUCGGACCCGUUGGGGUGGUUGAACCGCCGGCCGUGGUGGGCCUGGGGUCCGUAGAUGACAAGUGCAUUGAUUGCUGAGUGAACCGGUGGUCAGAAAGAGCCAUACACUUUGAUGGUUCAGUGAUCCGGAGAUCAUCUUGAGCCGUGUUCAUUUAAUGACUGAGUGCAUCGGAGGCCUGAGGGGGUCUCAUGCAUUAAUGAUAGGGUGUGCCGAAUGCCUGCGGAGAUCUUGUGCCUUAAUGACUUGGGGAUGGUGGCAGAUUGAAGUGGAGUCAUAUAUUUAGUUGUCAGAUCCUUUGGAGGGUUAGGCGGAGAUUGGAUAUUUGGCCAAGGCAUGGGCUCGGCGGGGUUGCCUUUCUGGUCGGCGCUCUCUGGUCUCGGCCUUCUGGUCUCGGCUCUCUGGUCUCGGCUCUCUGGUCUCGGCCUUCUGUGCUCGGUCUUCUGUGCUCGGC